GAUGAACGCUAGCGGCAGGCUUAACACACGCAAGUCGAGGGGCAGCAUGAUCGAACUUUCGGGUUUGAUUGAUGGCGACCGGCGCAAGGGUGCGUAACGCGUGAGCAACUUGCCCUCAUCAGGGGAAUAACCGUUGGAAACGACGACUAAUACCCCAUAGCACAUAUUUAAGGCAUCUUUUAUAUGUUAAAGAAUUUCGGAUGAGGAUAGGCUCGCGUGACAUUAGCUAGAUGGCGGGUAACGGCCCACCAUGGCGACGAUGUCUAGGGGUUCUGAGAGGAAGGUCCCCCACACUGGAACUGAGACACGGUCCAGACUCCUACGGGAGGCAGCAGUGAGGAAUAUUGGUCAAUGGUCUGACGACUAAACCAGCCAUGCCGCGUGAAGGUGACGGCCCUAUGGAUUGUAAACUCUUUUGUCUUGAGGGUAAAAAAGCGGACGUGUCCGUUCUUGCAAGUAUCAGACGAAUAAGCAUCGGCUAACUCCGUGCCAG
RNAcentral lists this ribosomal RNA (493 nucleotides) under uncultured bacterium. Its description in RNAcentral is "bacterial SSU rRNA". It matches the Rfam family "Bacterial small subunit ribosomal RNA", at positions 28 to 511 of the family's 1533-position model. The record is from RNAcentral.